CCAGCACGUCCUGUUUUCGUACCAAGAGAUCCCGAUCUGUGGAAGUACAAGGUAGCCGUGCGGAACAUCGAAAUUCGUCGAGAAGCAGAACAGACGACGUACGAAUGAGACCGGUGUGAAAAUAGCACCAACAACAUUUGAAGAAAGAAACACGUGCUGGAGAUUCACGGAGAGUUCCUGGCCGCACUAUUGUCGAUCGCCUGCCCAGAAAAGAACCUCUGAGAAUUCGCUGAUCGAAUUCUCAACGGCACCCACAGGUAGCCGCUACAGCAGAGGUUACAAGGCCUUCUGGCACCGUGCACACAAACCUGCCGAACCGUGAUCUUUCAAGAUUACAAAUGA
This is a long non-coding RNA of Dermacentor albipictus, 342 nucleotides long. RefSeq lists it as uncharacterized. Lineage: Eukaryota; Metazoa; Arthropoda; Arachnida; Ixodida; Ixodidae. The record is from RefSeq and is a predicted model, not a curated record.